CAGCCGCCGCGGGAAUACGUAGGUGGCAAGCGUUGUCCGGAAUUAUUGGGCGUAAAGCGCGCGCAGGCGGUUUCUUAAGUCUGAUGUGAAAGCCCCCGGCUUAACCGGGGAGGGUCGUUGGAAACUGGGAGACUUAGAGUGCAGAAGAGGAGAGUGGAAUUCCAUGUGUAGCGGUGAAAUGCGUAGAUAUAUGGAGGAACACCAGUGGCGAAGGCGACUCUCUGGUCUGUAACUGACGCUGAGGCGCGAAAGCGUGGGGAGCGAACAGGAUUAGAUACCCGCGUAGUCCCUGUCUCUUAUA
Molecule: ribosomal RNA, 301 nt
Filed under: uncultured bacterium
Lineage: Bacteria
Description: partial 16S ribosomal RNA
Rfam family: Bacterial small subunit ribosomal RNA
Source: RNAcentral